Molecule: ribosomal RNA, 253 nt
Filed under: uncultured bacterium
Lineage: Bacteria
Description: partial 16S ribosomal RNA
Rfam family: Bacterial small subunit ribosomal RNA
Source: RNAcentral
UACGGAGGGUGCAAGCGUUGUUCGGAAUUAUUGGGCGUAAAGAGCGUGUAGGCGGUUUGGCAAGUCAGAUGUGAAAGCCCUGGGCUUAACCCAGGAAGUGCAUUUGAAACUGCUUUACUUGAGUAUGGGAGAGGAGAGUGGAAUUCCCAGUGUAGAGGUGAAAUUCGUAGAUAUUGGGAGGAACACCCGUGGCGAAGGCGACUCUCUGGACCAAUACUGACGCUGAGACGCGAAAGCGUGGGGAGCAAACAGG